GGUUCCAUAGUGUAGCGGUUAGCACGUCUGCUUUACAUGCAGAAAGGCCUGGGUUCAUACCCAGUGGAGCCA
Molecule: transfer RNA, 72 nt
Filed under: Pteropus alecto (black flying fox)
Lineage: Eukaryota; Metazoa; Chordata; Mammalia; Chiroptera; Pteropodidae
Rfam family: tRNA
About the family: Transfer RNA (tRNA) molecules are approximately 80 nucleotides in length. Their secondary structure includes four short double-helical elements and three loops (D, anti-codon, and T loops).
Source: Rfam by way of RNAcentral